This 407-nucleotide ribosomal RNA is filed under the name uncultured bacterium. Its description in RNAcentral is "partial 16S ribosomal RNA". It matches the Rfam family "Bacterial small subunit ribosomal RNA", at positions 30 to 526 of the family's 1533-position model. The record is from RNAcentral.
AUUGAACGCUGGCGGCAGGCCUAACACAUGCAAGUCGAGCGGGGCGGCGGACGGGUGAGUAAGGCCUAGGAAUCUGACUGGUAGUGGGUGAUAAGGUCCGGCAACGGGCGCUAAUCCCGCAUCCUAUCAGAUGAGCCUAGGUCGGGUUAGCUAGUUGGUGGGGUAAAGGCCUACCAAGGCGACGAUCCGUAACUGGUCUGAGAGGAUGAUCAGUCACACUGGAACUGAGACACGGUCCAGACUCCUACGGGAGGCAGCAGUGGGGAAUAGUGGACAAUGGGCGAAGGCCUGAUCCAGCCAUGCCGCGUGUGUGAAGAAGGUCUUCGGAUUGUAAAGCACUUUAAGUUGGGAGGCGUUACCUGCAGAAUAAGCACCGGCUAACUUCGUGCCAGCAGCCGCGGUAAUUC